GUGUAUGAAGAAGGCCUUCGGGUUGUAAAGUACUUUCAGCGGGGAGGAAGGCGAUGUGGUUAAUAACCGCGUCGAUUGACGUUACCCGCAGAAGAAGCACCGGCUAACUCCGUGCCAGCAGCCGCGGUAAUACG
This 134-nucleotide ribosomal RNA is filed under the name Kosakonia cowanii. RNAcentral's name for it is "partial 16S ribosomal RNA". It matches the Rfam family "Bacterial small subunit ribosomal RNA", at positions 401 to 527 of the family's 1533-position model. Lineage: Bacteria; Pseudomonadati; Pseudomonadota; Gammaproteobacteria; Enterobacterales; Enterobacteriaceae. The record is from RNAcentral.